RNAcentral lists this ribosomal RNA (118 nucleotides) under Pteropus alecto (black flying fox). Lineage: Eukaryota; Metazoa; Chordata; Mammalia; Chiroptera; Pteropodidae. The record is from RNAcentral.
GUCUACGACCAUGCCACCCGAACAAGCCCGAUCCCGUCUGAUCUCAGAAGCUAAGCAGGGUUGAGCCUGGUUAGUACUUGGAUGAGAGAACACCUAGGAAGACCAGGUGCUAUAGCGG